AGGGUUUGAUCAUGGCUCAGGACGAACGCUGGCGGCGGGCCUAACACAUGCAAGUCGAACGCACUCGACCUUCGGGUCACAUGAGUGAGUGGCGAACGGGUGAGUAACACGUGAGAAACCUGCCCCGAAGACUGGAAUAACCCGAGGAAACUCGGGCUAAUACCGGAUAUCCCCACCGGGUCGCAUGGCCGGGUGAGGAAAUGCUCAGGCGCUUCGGGAGGGUCUCGCGGCCUAUCAGCUAGUUGGUGAGGUAACGGCUCACCAAGGCAACGACGGGUAGCUGGUCUGAGAGGACGAUCAGCCACACUGGGACUGAGACACGGCCCAGACUCCUACGGGAGGCAGCAGUGGGGAAUCUUGCGCAAUGGGCGAAAGCCUGACGCAGCCACGCCGCGUGAGGGAUGAAGGCUUUCGGGUUGUAAACCUCUUUCAGCAGGGACGAAAAUGACGGUACCUGCAGAAGAAGCUCCGGCCAACUACGUGCCAGCAGCCGCGGUAAUAC
This 502-nucleotide ribosomal RNA is filed under the name uncultured bacterium. RNAcentral describes it as "bacterial SSU rRNA". It matches the Rfam family "Bacterial small subunit ribosomal RNA", at positions 8 to 526 of the family's 1533-position model. The record is from RNAcentral.